This 238-nucleotide ribosomal RNA is filed under the name uncultured bacterium. Its description in RNAcentral is "partial 16S ribosomal RNA". It matches the Rfam family "Bacterial small subunit ribosomal RNA", at positions 524 to 759 of the family's 1533-position model. The record is from RNAcentral.
UACGAAGGGGGCUAGCGUUGCUCGGAAUGAUUGGGCGUAAAGGGCGCGUAGGCGGUUCGUACAGUCAGACGUGAAAUUCCCGGGCUCAACCUGGGGGCUGCGUUUGAUACGUACGGGCUUGAGUUCGGAAGAGGGUCGUGGAAUUCCCAGUGUAGAGGUGAAAUUCGUAGAUAUUGGGAAGGAACACCAGGUGGCGAAGGCGGUCGCCUGGGCCGUAUGACUGCGCUGAGCGCGAAGA